RNAcentral lists this unclassified non-coding RNA (656 nucleotides) under Hevea brasiliensis (rubber tree). The record is from RNAcentral. Lineage: Eukaryota; Viridiplantae; Streptophyta; Magnoliopsida; Malpighiales; Euphorbiaceae.
AAGCAACAAUUUUUAGGGUUUGAAUAAAUCGGAAAAGGAAAGAGAUGAAUGUGAUGCGUCGCCUCAAGAGCAUUGCGUCUGGACGAUCUUCCAUUUCCGAUCCUGGAGUGGAUAUUAGUCUAAAGAGACUGAAGAAUGAGCAAGAAGUAGAUCACAGGGUUGAUAUUGAAUUUCAAAUGGAAGAGCGAUGUACUAUAGCGUCAAAGGAUGAUGUGACUUCUACAUCUGAGGGAAGUGAUGCAAGUACAUUGACUGUCGAUACAAGGCAGGAAAAAUCUGGAAAGGAGAAGCUUCCAAAUGAAAUGAGAAUUAGAGAGAAAAGUUCUUAUGACCAUGAGGAUGACUUAAAGGAUAUGGAGCCUACUGUUGUUAGUGGUAAUGGAACAGAAACAGGCCAGAUAAUUGUGACUACUCUGAGUGAUCGAAAUGGACAGAAGAAACAGACACUGUCUUACAUGGCUGAACGUGUGGUGGGUACGGGAUCAUUUGGAGUUGUGUUUCAGGCCAAGUGCCUAGAAACAGGUGAGUCUGUGGCCAUAAAGAAGGUCUUGCAGGAUAGGAGAUACAAAAACAGGGAACUACAGAUUAUGCGCAUCCUUGAUCAUACUAAUGUUGUUCACCUGAGGCACUGUUUCUAUUCUACUACUGAGAAGAAU